Molecule: ribosomal RNA, 403 nt
Filed under: uncultured Ralstonia sp.
Lineage: Bacteria; Pseudomonadati; Pseudomonadota; Betaproteobacteria; Burkholderiales; Burkholderiaceae
Description: bacterial SSU rRNA
Rfam family: Bacterial small subunit ribosomal RNA
Source: RNAcentral
AUGGGGGCAACCCUGAUCCAGCAAUGCCGCGUGUGUGAAGAAGGCCUUCGGGUUGUAAAGCACUUUUGUCCGGAAAGAAAUCGCACUUACUAAUAUUAGGUGUGGAUGACGGUACCGGAAGAAUAAGGACCGGCUAACUACGUGCCAGCAGCCGCGGUAAUACGUAGGGUCCAAGCGUUAAUCGGAAUUACUGGGCGUAAAGCGUGCGCAGGCGGUUGUGCAAGACCGAUGUGAAAUCCCCGGGCUUAACCUGGGAAUUGCAUUGGUGACUGCACGGCUAGAGUGUGUCAGAGGGGGGUAGAAUUCCACGUGUAGCAGUGAAAUGCGUAGAGAUGUGGAGGAAUACCGAUGGCGAAGGCAGCCCCCUGGGAUAACACUGACGCUCAUGCACGAAAGCGUGGGG